AUUUUUAUAGUUUAUGUAAAACAUUAUAUUUUCAAUAUAAAAUAUAUAUUAUAUAUAAUU
This 60-nucleotide transfer RNA is filed under the name Polyrhachis dives. Its description in RNAcentral is "tRNA-Glu". Lineage: Eukaryota; Metazoa; Arthropoda; Insecta; Hymenoptera; Formicidae. The record is from RNAcentral.